CCUGCGGAAGGAUCAUUAAUGAAUUUUAGGACGUUCUUUUUAGAAGUCCGACCCUUUCAUUUUCUUACACUGUGCACACACUUCUUUUUUACACACACUUUUAACACCUUAGUAUAAGAAUGUAAUAGUCUCUUAAUUGAGCAUAAAUAAAAACAAAACUUUCAGCAACGGAUCUCUUGGCUCUCGCAUCGAUGAAGAACGCAGCGAAUUGCGAUAAGUAAUGUGAAUUGCAGAAUUCAGUGAAUCAUCGAAUCUUUGAACGCACCUUGCACUCUUUGGUAUUCCGAAGAGUAUGUCUGUUUGAGUGUCAUGAAACUCUCAACCCCCCUAUUUUGUAAUGAGAUGGGUGUGGGCUUGGAUUAUGGUUGUCUGUCGGCGUAAUUGCCGGCUCAACUGAAAUACACGAGCAACCCUAUUGAAAUAAACGGUUUGACUUGGCGUAAUAAUUAUUUCGCUAAGGACGUUUUCUUCAAAUAUAAGAGGUGCUUCUAAUUCGCUUCUAAUAGCAU
This 509-nucleotide ribosomal RNA is filed under the name Rhodotorula sp. 64c. RNAcentral describes it as "partial 18S ribosomal RNA". The stretch from base 157 to 310 matches the Rfam family "5.8S ribosomal RNA". The record is from RNAcentral. Lineage: Eukaryota; Fungi; Basidiomycota; Microbotryomycetes; Sporidiobolales; Sporidiobolaceae.